AUAAAUAAAUAAAUACCUUUUUUUUAAAGUAUUUUGUGCAUAUCUUUAUCUACUAUCUAGUAUUAAACAUGUGUUAAGGGUUUUUUCUAUCCUGAAAGUAUUUUGUAUACUCCUUGAAAUUAGUAGAUGUGUCUCAUUUAGUAAUUUCUAACUUCUUAGAAUGUAGGUAACGUAUGAAAAGACCUAAAUUCAUAAUUUCAAAAGGGGAUCUGUUUUUUUUUUAAAAGCCACUUCAAAAUUUUAAUGAGUCACAGUAAGUGUUACGGUUGAAUUUGCCCCCUCCCCUUCUAAAUUUAUAUGUUGAAGUCCUAAACCCCCAUAUCACAGGAUGUGCAUGUAUUUGGAUACAGGGUCUUUAACGAGGAAAUCUUGCUAAAAUUAAGUUAGUAGGGUGGGCCCUAAUCCAGUACCACUGAUGUCCCUGAUAGGGGAAAUUUGUACAGAAAGAUAUGAAUAUAGGGAAGACAAUGUGAAGAGACUGGGGAGAAGACAAUCACUUACAAGCCAAGGAGGACUGAGACUGGUCUUCCCUUCAUACUCCUCUAAACUACCACAUUGAUCUUGGACUUCUGGCGUCUAUAAACUAAAUAUGAACUGAAUGACCUCAAAAUGGCAAUGUUUGCAACUGACUUUGUUGAAGAUCCUUAAGGAGAAAGGCAACUGAAGAAAUCAAAUGGAAGUCAGACAUGUGGAGUCCUCAGGGAUAUAUUGGUGCCUUGUGAAAGCCCAAUUAUUUCAUCUUCUUUGCAGACUUGUUCCUCCACUGAGAAAAUGGUGAGGUUUUUUUUUUCUUUUUAAAUCACAUUAAUUAUUAAUGGUAAUGGAAUGGUAAGUAUCUUAAAAUUUUAACACUACAAAGCCCAUUUGAAGUCAUUUCUCUGUUUAGUUAAUACAAGAGUUGGAUUGAUAAUGAAAUACUUAAGUGAUGUAAUGGGAUUUAUUAUAAUUGGGGUCAGUGUAUAAACUGUUGACAUCUAACUUUCACAUUUUCCCAAGGUACUGUAAAGGUAUCAUGGCAACGAUUUAUUUAUACCGUAACAAAAUACAGCAAGUUGAAAAUUGCUAUAGAUAAAACGGUUAUUUUUGGUAACAUCAUAAAGUGAGGUAAUAAAGGAAGUGCUGUAAAACAGCAUAUUUUUUCAUAAAUCCUUUGAAUUUUUAAUAAUCAUUUGGUAUUGCUCUUGAGAAUUUAUGUAUCUAAGCUAAAUGCUUAUCUGCAAAAACACAAAAAUAUACUAUCAACUUAGUUUGCUGUCGUUUCUAUUUUUUCUAAUCUUACCGAAUAUUUUAUUGAAGAAUACAAAUCUCAUGCCAAAAUACCUGUUUUGAUUCCAGUUAUAUGUGAUGCAGAUGGAUUGAGAUAAACAGAUUAUUGGUCUUGAAUAAAGUUGAUAAACCUCAUUAAUUUGGCUUUCCAUUUUAAUGAGAGGGCUGAGAACAGGCAGGGAUAAUUCUCAAAUUCAAUCUGGGAUAUGGUGAUCAUAUCAGUUUGCUCAAGCUGGCAAAGCAAAAUACUACAGACUGGGUGACUUAAACCACAGAAAUUUAUUUUCUCACAGUUCUGGACACUAGAGAUCCAAAAUUAAGGUGCCAACAGGUUUCGUUUCUUACGACGUCUCCAUCUUUGGCUUGCGGAAGACCACAUUCUCACUGUGUCCUCACGUAGUUUUCUCUGGUGUCUCUCUGUGUGUCCUCAUUUUCUCUUUUAAUACAGAUACUGAUGGAAUUGGAUUAAAGGUACCCUAAUGUCCUUGUCUCAUGAAA
Nyctereutes procyonoides (raccoon dog) is the source of this 1764-nucleotide long non-coding RNA. RefSeq lists it as uncharacterized. The record is from RefSeq and is a predicted model, not a curated record. The transcript has 2 exons. Lineage: Eukaryota; Metazoa; Chordata; Mammalia; Carnivora; Canidae.